AGUGCGAUACAAGAGAGCACACAUACAAACACAAGCGACGGCGCGACGGCAGUGGCACACCACCAGGUGGCGUGAGAAUCUCAGAGAUGACCGAUUCCGAUUCCAAUAGCAAAUGAGGCUGCUUCGUUCGAGCAGACAAGUGAACGUUGCAGAACCGUUGCCCUGGAAACGUCGCGGAAUCUCCGCGGAGCAGACGACCGCGCGUAGGACACGAUGGAGCAUCUUUGGCUGCGGUGUCUUGCUCACAUCGGAGCGAGCACGCCCCCCCCCCAUCCCACUGUUAUUAUAUACGCGAGAAUUGUACAGUAUAAGAUUUGUUAGCCGCGCGAAAAAGUCGCGAGUAUUUAUUUGCCCUGCAUUGAGUCCUGCACGCUGCACGCAGUCAGCCAAUCAUCCACACAUCACGCAGCUCAACCAGACAUGAAGCCCACCGAAAGAAAUCGCUUUCUCACGGUUGCCUCGAGCAACAGUCCAGGAGGCUUAGCAUCCCACGAUCCAUAGGCUUAGCAUACCAGAUGUGAAUCUCACGUGUUGCCGGCACGAUCACCCGAGUCCUAUCUCAUCUCAUCACGUGCAUUCUCACCACGCCUUCCCUGGAUCGUUCAUCAUCAUCUUCUUCAUCAAUGCUGCGAGCACACAACAUGUACCUUGUAUCACACCACGUCUUUAGCAGUUCCGUUCGAGUGUUGCCCAGUGGAUAGACAUUAGGGGCGUCACGCGCACGCGCGUUGUUUAUACACUAGCCUGAGUGCGAGCCGUAUCGAGAGCAACAGGGUUGUCAUAUGGUUUUAUAUAAUUUUAGCGACAUGUACAGACUGUCUACCAGGCACAGCCGGCCGACCGACCCGACAGAGAGCAGUGUAGUUAGCAGACAAAACCGCACCACCACACCCUGGAUUUCUGUUACCGAGUCUUCCAACUCCCCUGCCCUUUCCCUGUCCACCCCCUCAUCUCCUCCGACAUUCCCACAGAAGAAGUUCCGUGCUCUUGGUCGGUGCAGCUUUCGUGGGCCGAAGUAAUGAUCGGUUAGUCGUGCCUGGUUCGAUUACCUCGUUGAUUGUGUGUUUACUGUAAGAUACUGGUUUAUUUAUUCGUAUACUUAAUAAGAGAUUGUCAGUAUUAUUAUUUUCUCACGUAGUAACUGUUGCUGUGGCAUAGGCGGGUUGUAGCGGCUGGUAUAGACAGCAACAUACCUGUAAACUUUAUAUAUAUAUAUAGUAUAUAUAUACAUAUAUAUACAUACAUAUAUAUAUACAGAUAUGUUUAUCGCUGCGCUAGUACACACAAUUGCAAAUCAAUAUAUGCACUGUAAAUUCAAUGAUGUUGUAAAGUUAUUGUGAAAAAUAUUGUUUAUAUCUGGAUUUUGUGAAGUAAAAUGAAAUAAAUGUAAAUUAUGUCACCACAAUAA
Molecule: long non-coding RNA, 1408 nt
Organism: Priapulus caudatus
Lineage: Eukaryota; Metazoa; Priapulida; Priapulimorpha; Priapulimorphida; Priapulidae
Exons: 2
Source: RefSeq, a predicted model, not a curated record